AUGGACCUGUUAUAUUGUUAUGUAUUUUUGGUGUUGCUCCCCUUUCUCUAUGCUUGUGCAUAUGUGUCUGUGUGUAUGUGUCUCUGUGGGCGCCUUCAGGCCUGGUGGGUGUGGCCCUGCUGGCGGACUGGCCACACCCGAAGCCACACACCUGCUCCUGAUCAGGCCUCGUCGGGGGAGCUACUUAAGAGAGUCUUGGAGCUCCCACCGACGCGGGAUCAUUCCAUGAGACUCCACGAGAGGUGUGGAGAGCCAGACAGCAGCCAGCACGGGGAGUGCUGAGACACGGGAGCGGAGAGCACAAACACUGGGAGAAGACACGACACGGGAGUCUGGGGAAAGCACGGGGAUUUAUUGUUGUUGUUUCCAUCACUGUAAAUAAACGCACUGUUCGCACACAGAGCACCGCGCCUGGGUCCUCCUUCCUCACACCCCCCCACGGUCUGCCAUGCCGAACCGUGACAAUUAGAUAGUCAGUUUUGUGUGCUGCUCAGUAACAUUCAAUAUUUAUUACUGUUACUUAUGCUUAUCUAGGUUGUUGCCAUGGUUUCCCUGCAGCAUUGUUCUGUUUUUGCUUGAUUUCUUCUUUUUUUUCCAACAGGUGAUCUAGCGGGUUUUUAGUGUCUUUUUUCACUGUCCCUCUUCCCCUCUGUUUUUCUUUCCUUCUCCUUUUCUUGAACUUCUCUUGUUAGAUUAGAUUAGAUUAGAUAAAAAUUUUAUUAAUCCCUCGCGUGGGUUCCUCCGGGAAAUUCUGUUUCCAGUAGCACAGCACUGACAGAAAUGGCAAAAGAAUGUAAGCAGAAAUAGAAAUAUAUCAUAUAUACACAUAUACACAUAUAUAAAUACAGAGUAUAUAAUAGUGAUAGAGAAAAAUAUUGCACAGUGAAAAAAAGCACUACAGUUUAGUUGUCCUCACCCUCCUUUGUCCCACUGUCUCCCCUCCCUCUCCCCUCCAGCGUGGAGUUAAACAGUUUGAUGGCGUGUGGGACAAAGCAGUUUUUAAGUCUGUUGGUCCUUUACUUUGGGAGAAGCAACCUGUCUCUGAACAGACUCCUCUGGUUGUUUAUGACCGUGUGCAGAGGAUGCCCAGCAUUGUCCAUAAUGUCCAGCAGUUUCUUUAAUGUCCUCUUCUCUGCCACUGUUACCAGGGUGUCCAGCUUCAUGCCGACCACAGAGCCAGCCUUCCUGAUUAGUUUUUCCAGCCUGGAUGAGUCCUCCUUUGCUGUGCUGCUCCCCCAGCACACCACAGCAUAGAACAGGACUCCAGCAACCACCAACUUGUGUAUGUCUUUCCCUUUCCUAUUCCCCGGUGAUGUCCGUUCUGAUGGCUUGUUAAACAUAAACUUAUUUAUUUAUUUUAAACUUAAAGAUUUAAAAUAAAAAAUAAAAAAUAAUAAACAUCAAUGAAGUGGACCAGUAUGGCAAAGCCGUAAUGAUGGGAAAAUAAAUCUGUUGGGCAUUUUUCUUGGCCUUCAGACAAUAAUUCUGAUUGGUACAAUGCUGAAUGGGGGAGGCAAAAAAGGAACAAGGACAGGCCCCUGGACAGCAUUUACCUGUACCCCUGGCAGAUAUCAAAAAUUCCUACCAGUGCCUGGACAAAGCUGGACUGAAAGACAGAACAGAGGCACUAAUCAUGGCAGCACAGGAACAAGCUCUGAGCACAAGACCCCAGGUGCAGGCUGUGUAAAGAUGUCCCUGAGAUAAUCCAGCACAUAACAGCAGGGUGCAAGAUGCUAGCAGGCAAGGCAUACAUGGAACGCCAUAACCAAGUGGGCGGCAUAGUGUACAGAAUCAUCUGUGCCGAGUAUAACCUGGAAGUCCCGAGGUCAAAAUGGGAGACGCCCCCAGUGGUGGUGGAGAAUGACCGAGCUAAGAUCCUGUGGUGAUGGCUAACCAGCUGGUGACAGCAACAUCCGGAAGAAGGAAGACAAAAACUCAAGAAAUAUGAGGGGCUGUGGGAGGAGCUAGAGAAGAUGGGGAGGGUGAAGACAACACUGGUCCAUGUGGUAAUGUAGUAGUUACAUAGUUACAUGUAAAACCUUUCUUACAGUUUUUUCUGAAUGCUUAAACCCUAACUGUGAUUCUUAUAGCACAAUUUCUAAAACUAUUAAAACUUAUAGCAAAACCAUUCACUGAGUUUGCAAAACUAAAAGCACAAACACUGCUUUGCACUCAGUUUGCCAUUUUGUAACACACACUUUGCAAACCUGUAGCUACAAUCCACUGCACAGCACUCUUUUUGCAGAACUGUAAACACAACUCACGGCUUUACACUCAAUUUGCAAAGGAUCAACACACUCCUAGCAAAACUAUACACAUUUAUGGCUAUUAUUUACACUAUUUUAUCAACUGUCUGGCACACUGUCACAUGUGAAAACUUUUUUAGAUAAUUAGUUCACUUUGCAAUCAGCCUAAGCACUAUAAUACAGGUAAGCUGUGUGUGUGGAGUACAGUGGAGGGAGCAGGAAGAGUGAGAAGUAGAGGAGGCCGAGGAAGAGGACGUGGAGGUGAAGAAGUAGGACGAAGAGGACGACAAGGACAAGGAGGAGCAAGAGGAGGACGAGGAGGGGGGAGAGGAAGGGUAAGAAGAGUAAGAAAUAGAAUUGCUGAUGACAUCAGAGCUACAACAGUGGACCAUGUAAUCAACCAUGGAGUGACCCUGAGGGAAGCUGGCCAACGGGUUCAGCCUAACUUGAGCCGCUACACUGUAGCAAGCAUCAUAAGGACAUUUUGAAAUGAGAGUCGGUUAGUACAGUCACUUUGCACUAAGAUCUGUAGCACUGCCAUGCUAAUGAGAAACACAACAAUACCAUAGAUGUAAAAUUCCAGAAGAUAUUUUCCCCUGUGCCUUGGACUAGAGCAGCGCUCCCCAACUCCCGGGCCUCGGACCGGUACCGGUCCGUGAGUCGUUUGGUACCGGGCCGCGAGAGUUGAGGCUCAGGUGUGAAAUGUAUGGUUUUCAGGGUUUUUAUCGGUUUUCAGCGUUAUUUUGUUAUCGUUUUUAUCGUUAACUCGCUUUUCCUGGGUCUUUUCACGUGUGUUAUGAAUAAAUCUUCUUUUUUUUGGUACCGGUACUAGUUUUAUUUUGUUGUGUUUAUCCGCGACACCUUAAAGGCCGGUCCGUGAAAAUAUUGUCUGGCAUAAACCGGUCUGUGGCACAAAAAAGGUUGGGGACCGCUGGACUAGAGGACAUUUCAUGUGAUGUAGACGAAAUUUUGUGGCCAGAUCCACAGAGAUGACACAAUGUAGACUGAUUUCUUUUUUUUCCUCAGUGAAAUUACUAUUUCGUUUUGACUUGGAAAUAAACACUUGUGUUUGUUUUGAUGUGUGUGAAUAAACACCAGUACUUGAAGUUUGGAUCCCUCUAUGCUUACGGAUCUAUGACAAAAGUAUGAGCUCAAUCUGACAUAGCCUACCUUGUGCACAGAGAAAGCAAAAGCCAGAUGUGUUUUUCAUUCAUACCAUCAGUGUGUAGUUGGUGCAUUGUGUGCUUAUUAAUUUGAUGGCUUGUGUUUACUGUCUGAUACAAAAAUACAAUUUUUACAAAGGUGUGGAGAGUUACAGUUUUUUCUGAUUGCUUAAGCACAUUUUUUGUAACUAUUGGCUAUUUUUGCAAAACUCUACACACAAAUAAGAAAACCUGUCACCCAAUUAUCAAAACAUUGUAGUUCUCUUGCAAAAGCGAACACAGCUAGAUUAACUCUUCACACCUUCGUAAAAAUGGUGUUUUCGUAUCAAACAGUACACACAAGCCAUCAUCUACUAAGCACACAAUGUGCCACCUGCACACUGAUGGUAUGAAUACAAAACACAUCUGGCUUUUGCUUUCUCUGUGUACAGAUGUCAAUUUGAGGUCACACUUUUGUCAUAGUGUCAUGUAAACAUACAAGGAUCCAAACUUCAAGUAUUGGUGUUUAUUCACACUCAUCAAAACCAAGACAAAGUCACAACACAGAAUAGGAAUUUCACAAAAAAAGGAAAAAAAAGACAGUCAGCCUACAUCAUGUCAUCUUUCUGGGUCCGGCCACAAAAUUUCGUCCACAUUGCAUGCGAUAUCCUCCAGUCCAAGGCACCGGGGAAAAUAUCUCCUUGAAUGCCGUAUCCAGGCCUGACAUGAUGCCUGGUCAAUAUCUCCACAUGUCUCCUCCAUUGCCUGUAAAAGGGCUACCUGUUGAUGAGGAUGACGGUCGUACACUUUCCAGCGCCAGGCAGAGAAGAACUCCUCGAUGGGAUUUAAGAAUGGAGAGUAUGGAGGGAGGUUGAGUGCCAUGAAGGAUGGGUGGUCUGUAAACCAGUUGCGGACCAAAGCAGCCCUAUGGAAACUAACAUUGUCCCAUAUGAUGACAUAUUGGGUCUGCUCUGGUCUCUGAACAGUGAGCAUGUCAUGCAAGGUGUCCAGGAAUGCAAUAAUGUGUGCAGUGUUGUAUGGGCCUAUGGUUGCAUGAUGGUGAACAACACCAU
This 4461-nucleotide long non-coding RNA is filed under the name Oreochromis niloticus (Nile tilapia). RNAcentral's name for it is "lncRNA (ENSONIG00000041165.1)". The record is from RNAcentral. Lineage: Eukaryota; Metazoa; Chordata; Actinopteri; Cichliformes; Cichlidae.